RNAcentral lists this long non-coding RNA (1455 nucleotides) under Lathyrus oleraceus (garden pea). RNAcentral's name for it is "Pisum sativum (pea) long non-coding RNA (PSAT_LNC018376)". The record is from RNAcentral. Lineage: Eukaryota; Viridiplantae; Streptophyta; Magnoliopsida; Fabales; Fabaceae.
GAACAGCAGCAACACAAACAUAUAUUGAUACAGACUUUUACAUUGUUCAAAUGUGAAACAAAAUCUGCAUAGACAACAUAAUCGAACCGAAAUAUACAUCAAAGUCAAAAAAGAUUCUAACAAUUAAAUUCUAGCAAUAAAAAUGGUACAAAAGAGUGAUAAAGCAUGGGUUUCAUAAAGAUAGCUAAGAUUUAUUGGUUCUAAAACGAUUUCCUAUGUAGAGCAGCUCACAAAUUCUACUAGCAAAUGCCAUCACCUUCCAAGAAAAUCCUAGUUUCCCAUAUUUCAUAUGAUAUAGGUAAAAAAAUUGAAUCAAAUAUGACUCAAGCUACUAAACAAUCAACAUUUAUCUUCCAAACAAACAAACCCCAAAAUUUAUUUAGCAGUAAAAUAUAAUCUUGUUUGUAAAGCCUAAAAAUAUGCAAGCCUCGGUGAAGAUUAUAGAAGACACAAACCAUAAUAAAAUGAUAAUAAUAGAGUACCAACCAAACGAAACAGUAACCGAAUUUAACUAAACAAAAAGAAAAUAUAACAUAAUAGAAAAUGAAACCAAAUGUUACCGCACAAAAUCACGACGUUAAGUGUUGCUGCUAUUGUGACGAAGAGUCCGCACGCAAACGCUGAAGCAAAUUCAAACCUCCAAAUCUCACAAUAGUUUUUGGCCACGAAUUUGAAAGAGGUUUGGAAAUAAAGUUAAUUUCACAAAGCAUAAAACCAAUAUGCAAUGUCCUGCAACGUGACACGAUCGCUCUAUUCACAAACUCUUGCUCAUCUUCUUCAAAUCUCACUACAAGCAAACAUCCCGAUCUGAGUCUAACUUGAGCUGUUGAGUAACUUAUUCCAGUUCAGAAUAUUUUGGAGGUUUCAUUUUCACAUGGAGAAUAGAUAGAUAUGCAAUUUCGGGAAGAAAUACAUGGUGAUGUGCGACUGUUUACGGUGUAAAGAGAAAGAGAUCUUUCCUCUUGACUGUGAGUAUUUAUCACAGAUUUAGAAGAAAAGCACAAUGGUGUUGUAGUAAGUUUAAGGCGUGAGUUACUCUUCGGAAAAGAUAGUUAGGGCGUGGUAUAAGGCGGCGCUGUAAGCAGCUAAUGAUGGGGUUUGGAUCGUUUGAAGGCGGAGGGAUUGUAGUGAUGAUGAAGUCGGUUUAUGGCUAAUAGUGAGGAUCACGAAGGGAGUUGGAUGUAGAGGGUUCGAAUGAUGAAGCAUAGUGGUGGCAGCAUGAUUUAAAGGGGGUUUGGAGGGCGGAUGUAUGGUUGGAGAAGAAAGGGGUUAUGUGGUGGUUGCCGAAGGAAAACGAGGUUAUGGUGAAGGUGUAAGGUGAUCGGCGACUAAGUUUGAGUUCUCAUGAAGAAUAAAGUUUUGUUUUCUUUUUCAAGUUCUCAGACCCUCCAUUUUUGUUGAUGAAAAAAUUAAUGCAGGCAAGCUCUUAUUUUUAUAUUUUAUAGAAAGAUCAUC